UACAGAGGGUGCAAGCGUUAAUCGGAAUUACUGGGCGUAAAGCGUGUGUAGGUGGUUAGAUAAGUUAGAUGUGAAAUCCCCGGGCUUAACCUGGGCACUGCGUUUAAGACUGUUUAACUAGAGUGCUGUAGAGGGUAGUGGAAUUUCCAGUGUAGCGGUGAAAUGCGUAGAUAUUGGAAGGAACACCAGUGGCGAAGGCGACUACCUGGACAGACACUGACACUGAGACACGAAAGCGUGGGGAGCAAACAGG
RNAcentral lists this ribosomal RNA (253 nucleotides) under uncultured bacterium. Its description in RNAcentral is "partial 16S ribosomal RNA". It matches the Rfam family "Bacterial small subunit ribosomal RNA", at positions 524 to 776 of the family's 1533-position model. RNAcentral also lists the same sequence under 1 other name. The record is from RNAcentral.